GCGACCUGUUUUCGAAAGAUGACUGGGAGUAUUGUAACUUCAGUCAACAGCCCUUUUAAGGACUACACUAACCUGGACGAUGUACAUUUACAAAACAUGUUACGAUAUUCCCAUGCUCAACAACAAGAAAUUUACCAAAAAUAUAUUAUUUCCAUAUGCUUAUGAAAUACAUAAUCAGGCAAUCAGCCGAAACAAUUUAAUUAUGAAAUUACAUUACAUUACCAAAAUUAUAAUGUUAGGGUAGUUAUAAUACUGGUGCUAGUCGAACAAUAACUCGGCGUAUAUAAACUUAUGAACGAUCAAGUUAUAUUACAAAAAAUCAAAAGAUUCCAAGAUUCCAACAUUUCAAGAUUCCAGAAUUCCAAGGUUCCAAGAUUACAAGAUUCCAAAUUCCAGAUUCCAUGUUUUACAAUUUACCGAGUGUAAACUACUUGACACAUGGGUAAUAAGUGGCAUUAUGUAAAUCUAACUUGACCAUACGUUAUAAUUUAUAACCAUAUUCGUCUGUCGUAUGCCAAGGUCCAUACUAAAACGAGGUUUACUAUCUCUCAAGCAGUCGUUUGAAAAUCUAUCACAAAACAUUCAAGAUGAAUUUACCACUACUGGCAUCAGUCAUGCUGAUAUUUAGUACUUCCAUCGUCGAUUCGGCUGCUGGACGUAAACAUUCAAAAGGGAAUUUAAAGCCCUUCCGUUUCAAGCCUGUCUUUUUUCAUAAGAAAUUGACGGAUUAUCUGAGCAAAAAAGUUGAAUCAUUUUUCAAGUUGUUAUUGGCGGGAAAGGUUCAGAAAGCUGUCAACAGCGUGUAUGCGAAGGAUAGCGUGUUUCUACAACAAAGUGCACCGGAAGCAAUAGGCAGGAAAGAUAAAAAAGACUGUUUGUUCGAAAGUUGAUUACAUGCAUAAAAACUGAACCUCGCACGCACGUCUGGUAGACUGGAGACUUAAAAAUAUUGCUUUCGCAUGUUUCAGGAAUAUAAAAUCACUUGAUUGAAGGAAUACCAUUGGCAAAUAUCACCACCAACAUAGACUUUAAAGUUGAACAGAUGAUAAAAAGGGGAAAUAUAGCAAUAUUAAGAUAUCGAGGACAUACUUAUGGAAAGAACAACGAAGUGUUAUUUACAAUCCGGUAAGCUUGUUAUAGCUCAUAUGUAAAAAGAAGCAAAAUUAAAGCGAACCUAAGUCAAAAAGUGAUUAUAAAAAAACUUUACUUUUUGUGGUAAAUUAGCCUUUGUUGACAUGUAACAUUCAUCUGUCGUAUUGAACUAUGAAUACGAAAUUUGUCUGCGUAGAGAUGUGAAUAAUCAUUAUUAUUCAAUAUGUAAGCAA
This is a long non-coding RNA of Xenia sp. Carnegie-2017, 1325 nucleotides long. RefSeq lists it as uncharacterized. Lineage: Eukaryota; Metazoa; Cnidaria; Anthozoa; Malacalcyonacea; Xeniidae. The transcript has 2 exons. The record is from RefSeq and is a predicted model, not a curated record.